GGCGCCGUAAGCGCCGCGUCAGAUUCCUAAUCUGGGGGUCACAGGUUCGAAUCCUGUCGGGGACG
Molecule: transfer RNA, 65 nt
Filed under: Rhodomicrobium vannielii ATCC 17100
Lineage: Bacteria; Pseudomonadati; Pseudomonadota; Alphaproteobacteria; Hyphomicrobiales; Hyphomicrobiaceae
Rfam family: tRNA
About the family: Transfer RNA (tRNA) molecules are approximately 80 nucleotides in length. Their secondary structure includes four short double-helical elements and three loops (D, anti-codon, and T loops).
Source: Rfam by way of RNAcentral